UUUAUUACUUAUUUAGGAGACUGGAAUAUCACGGCAUCAAAUGGUAAAACAACAGAAAGUAUGAGUGUUUUCUUACGAGUACUUCCAAGGCUUGUGCUGCAGGUGAUGCCUCCAAAUAAUAUUUCAGUUGAAAGCAAGAAAUCGAUAAACCUUUCAUGCGUUGUUACCAAUCCUGAAUCCUUAUUUAAUUUGUCUGGCGGGGGUUUAUUCUGGGAGAAAGACGGCAAAAAAAUAUCACCAGAUUCUGGAUUCAAUAUAACUACAACAGACACAUCCACAACUUUAAUGAAGUCAUCAGCAGAAGUUGACGAUUCGGGAACUUACUUGUGUGCUCACUCUUCCUAUCCGGAACCUUUUUAUGUCUCCAUCUAUAUA
This is a long non-coding RNA of Saccostrea cuccullata (small rock oyster), 375 nucleotides long. RefSeq lists it as uncharacterized. The transcript is spliced from 3 exons. Lineage: Eukaryota; Metazoa; Mollusca; Bivalvia; Ostreida; Ostreidae. The record is from RefSeq and is a predicted model, not a curated record.